Molecule: long non-coding RNA, 8648 nt
Filed under: Homo sapiens (human)
Lineage: Eukaryota; Metazoa; Chordata; Mammalia; Primates; Hominidae
Description: HSALNT0302602
Source: RNAcentral
UACACAGCAGAUACUGAAGCUGUAAACAGUAAAUUCAUACUUACGAUGUUAGAAAAAUAAGAUUCUGAUUAUGAAACAAAAGGUUGUUUUCAGUUGAAGAAGUAAAUAAUAGUAAGAAUAAGGAAUUUUGCAAAAGCCAAGGCUUCAAGACUUAAAAAGGAUUCAAAAGACACCAAAGGUUCACUUUUGGCUAAAAGCUAAAUGUGAACCUUUCAAAAUGAACUCAUUGCUGUCUUCCUCUCAAAAGGCCUUCAGAUGGUCAGAUAAAGUACCUGAUGCUGAAAAACAGGAAAUUGAAUCAUGUCUCCAAAAUGUGCCUUUUGUCAUGCACUGUUACAGCUAUAUUUCUUGUAACUACAUUCAGCCUCCAGCCAAGAUAAAGAAUUAUGUGAUACAUACUUCAUCUUCCAUCACUGCUUUCAAAAGAUGUGAAUUCUGCAAACCAGACAGAAGAGGGAGCUAUCCAUCUGGAAAUUAACCAAUCCUUUCAAAAACAUGUCAAAUAAAUAUAGAAGAAAAUUCUAAUAUAAUCAAGUCUUAUUUAGUCUUGUAUUUUAUAAAAAUACUAUAAUUUUUCUGGUGCAUUAAAAAUGACAAAGAAAACGACCAGUAAAGGCAAAAACAUUGAGUUAAUUAAUGAAAAGGCAAAAUAUACAAACGAUUAAAAGGCCAAUUAAAAAUACACUCACAUUUUACGGUUUGAUCUCACAUUUUAUAGCAAAAUGUAAAACCAGAACACACCUCCAAAAAGGGCAAAAUAAUACUCUGCUGCUAUACGUAUUACUAAUAUCACCUUCCUAUAGAUCCUGUUCUUAAAAUGGAAUGCUGACUUUAAAAUUGAUAACAUCUGGAAAUAAUGGCAAAAAGGAAAAACUGUUGGGCUGCAUCUGUCUUGAAAAUGCUAUGUAAUAAGAUUUACUUAAUAUAUUUGAAAAAGGAAAAAUGUUUUGUUCCCCAAUUUGUUGCAACAUCUGAAAGUUCACGAGGUUAUGACCCCUCUUUAAGAAAGCAUCUCCCACCACCUGCAAAUACCCCAGGAAAAGCAGUUGGAAACAAUAAAACACGUGCUAGUUAACUGUUACCAGGGAAACGGUUCUGGUUCACCAAUCAGAGCGCCUGUGCUUCCCAGUGGCUUUGUCCGGGGGAGACAUGCGCCAGCUGUUAGUGAAUAACCAUUGUUAUAGAUCAUCAGGAAAUCACAGUCAGCAGGCAACCCAGCCCCACUGGAAGUUUAUUUCUCAUAUUUGUUCAUCACCAGGGCAAUUCUCCACCUUUAAAACAUCCUCUUAGGCUGGGUUAACUAAAUAACACCCUACACGGGUAAGGUCAUUUAAAAAAGGCAAGUUGCAAAAUGGUCUUUUUGCCAGCAAACAGAUUUCUAACUUUGAUUCCAAAUGCAUCACCCUCCUGUCCCCUUCACUUUCCAGUGGCAAUUUUAAGACUGAUAUCUAAAGUCUGUGCUCCUUUGAGUGCUGUUCCUCCUUCACCUAACUGGCACUCCAGGUACCAAGAGCUUUCACACCAUACCCUCCAAGACCUGUCAGAGAUCAUUUGGCAGUUCCCAUGCUGGAAAGACCAGUGUGAUUUGCAAACGGGGAGUUCUGAAGAGGCUGGCCUGUCAUGAGGAAAGGGGCUGAGAGGACAAAACCCUGGUUCCCUCCCUCGCUAACACACACAAUUCAACCAGAAUAGCCCCACUUUAUCAAUUUUAUUAUUUUUAUAAAUUUAUAAAUUCAUAUAUUUUUUGAAAAAAGAUGGCGUUACUUUUUAAAGUUUAAAAACCAGCUCUCAACCUAUCCAAUCAUCAGACUCAUCUUAAAAAGUAAAGUCAUCAAGAGUUUUAGUUUCAGGUCCAGCAUGUUAGGCUGUUAAGAAGUCACCACUCUAACAACAAGUAAAAAAGCCAAACAAACUGAAAAAUCAGCAACUCUUCUUAGAUCUGUCAGAGAAGUGAGGUCACAGGACAAAUCACUGUCCCCCAAAUUGGAGAGACAGACAGACAAAUAGAAUCACAACUUACUAGAGCAGAAGUCUAUGAGCAGUCUCUUUCUCAGGAGUCAGUGCCAGGGUUAGAAAACCAGAACUGCAAUUGCUAGAAGAUCAGUGUGGACAAGUUUAAGAAUUAAAACUCAGGAGGACCCAGACAUGUGGUCUAACACACGUUACCAAUAGAGAAGCAAAAAUAAGAAUUACACCUGACUGGUCCUCAGAACAUGCAAGCAAGAAGAGAGUGGUGUAAAAUAUUUAAACUAUUGAGAUAGAAACUACCAGCCUAGAACUCUAUACACUGUGAAAUUAUCCUUCAAAAGUAAAGAAGAAAUAAAGACUUUCUCAGGCAAAAAUUGAAAGUAUUUGUUGGCCAGUAGUCCUGCCUUGCAAGAAAUUCUUCAAAGAAGUUCUUCAGAGCAAAAGAAAAUUAUAUAGGUUAGAAACUCAGAUCUACGUAACGAAAUGAGCAAUGGAGAAUCAAUCAGUGAAAGUGAAAUAAAACUUUUAUUUUUCUUAUUCUUAAAUGAUUUAACACAAAACUGUUCAAAAUAACAGCAAUGAUAUAUUCAAUUAUGUAUACUUAUAUGUUUUAGAUAUAUGUGCACACACAUAAACAUACAUAUGUAUGCUAAUGUAUGCUUAUAUGUAAGUGAAUGAAUAAUGGCAAUGAUACAAAAGGGAGAACAGAAGAGUUAGGAAUAUUUUGUUAUUAUAAUGUACUUGCACUGCUCAUAAAGCAGUAUAUUGUUAAUUGGACUUGAAUUCAUUAUAAAUGUCUAUUGCAAACUUUGGGGGAAAACUACUAAAUUUUUUUUAAUGUGACUUAUGUCCUAAGAAAGAAGAGAAAAUGAAAUCAUAUAAAAUGGUCAAUUAAAACUACAAAAGCAGAACAGGUGUAGAAGACAAAAUAGGAAUGAAGAGCAAGAAGAACAAAUAGAAAACAAUAACAAAUAUGUUACAUAUUAAUCCAGCUAUAAUAAUAAUCACUUUAACCUUCAAUGGUCUAUAUAUGCCUAUUAACUGACAGAGAUUGUCAGACUGGAUUAAAAAACAAGACCCAACUACAUGUUGUAUACAAGAAGCCCACUUUAAAUAUAAAGACACAUAAAGAUUAAAAGUAAGCCAGGCGCGGUGGCUCACACCUGUAAUCCCAGCACUUUGGGAGGCUGAGGUGGGUGGAUCGCCUGAGGUCAGGAGUUUGAGACCAGCCUGGCCAACGUGGUGAAACCCCAUCUCUACUAAAAAUACAAAAAAAUUAGCUGGGCAUGGUGGUGGGCACCUGUAAUCCCAGCUACUCGGGAGGCUAAGGCAGGAGAAUUGCUUGAACGAGGGAAGUGGAGGUUGCAGUGAGCCGAGAUCACGCCAUUGCACUCCAGCCUGGGCAACAAGAGCAAAACUCCAUCUCAAAAAAAAAAAAGUUUAAAAGUAAGGGUAUGAAGAAAAAAAUACCAUGUAAUAUUAAUCGAAAGAAAGCAGAAAAUCUGUUUUUAAAAAAGCAGGAGUAGCUAUAUUAAUUUCAGAGAGAGCCAACUUCAGAACAAGGAAAGUUAGGAGGGAUAAAGAGAGCUAUUCCAUAAUGAUGGAGGGGUCAGUCCUCUAAAACAACAUAACAAUUUUUAACGUGUAUGCACCCAACAGAGCACCAAACUAUGUGAAGCAAAAACUGAUAGAAAGGCAAGGAGGAACAGAUAAAUCCACUAUUAUAAUUGGAGACUUUACCACUAUCAGAAAUGGACAGAUCCACUAGGCAGAAAAUCAGUAAAGACAUAGUUGAACUCAACAACACCAUCAAUCAUUGGGAUAUAAUUGACAUCCAUAGAUUAUUUCAUCCAACAACUUAUUACACAUCCAUCUCAACCUCACAUGGAGCAUUUGCCAGGAUAGAAUACUUUCUGGGCCAUAAAACACAUCUUAAAAUAUUUAAAAGGAUAGAAAUCAUACAAUGUAUGCUGUUAGAACGUAAUGGAAUUAAAGUAAAUAUCAAUAACAGAAUGACAACUGGAAAAGCUCAAAAAACUUAGAGACUAACAAACUUUUAAAUAACAUAUGGGUCGAAGAAUAAAUCUCAAGAGAAAUUGAAAAUAUACAGUUUAUCAAAAUUUGUGGAAUGCAAUGAAAGCAACAUUUAGAGGGAAGCUUAUAGCAUUGAAUGCAUAUAUUAUGAAAGAAGAAAGAUCUGAAAUAAAUAACCUAAGCUUCCACUUUAGGGAACUAGGAAAAAAAAUUAAAUCCAAGGAAAGCAGAAAAAAAUAAAAAUUAAAGCAGAAAUUAAUGAAAUUGAAAACAGGAAAUCAAUAGAAACAUCCAACAAAACCAAAUGCUGGUUCUCUGAAAAGAUAAUAAAAGUGAUAAAUCUCUAGCCAGGUUAAAUAAGAAAAAAAGAUAAGACUAAUAUCUCAAUGAUAAGCACUAAUAUCAGAAAUGAAGUAGAGGACAUCAUACAUAUACCACGGGCAUUAAAAGGAUAAUAAAGGAAUAUUACGGACAACUCUAUGCCCACAGAUUUGAUAAUCUGGAUUAAAUGGACCAAUUCCUAGACACAGCUUGCCAAAAGUCACACAAACAGAAAUGGACAAUGUGAAUGGCCUAUAUCUAUUAGUUAAAUUAGAUCAAUAAUUAAUAACCUUCCAACACAGAAAGCACAAGCCCCAGAUAAGCUUGCCCAUGAAUUCUACCAAACAUUUAAAGAACAAAUUAUAUUAGUUUUCUACAGUCUCUUUUAGAAAAUAAAAACAGAGGGAAUACUUCCUCACUCAUUCCAUGAGGCCAGCAUUACCCUAAUACCAAAGUCAGACAAAGGCUUUACAAAAAAAGACUUCAGACCAAUGCCUCUCAUGAAAAAGGAUGCAGAAAUCCUCUACAAAAUAUUAGCAAGUCAAAUUCAACAAUGUAUAAAAAGAAUUAUACACCAUGACUAAAUGUGAUUUAUCCCAGGUAUGCGAGGAUGGUUCAACAUUUGAAAAUUAAUUAAUGUAAUCUAGCGUAUCAGAAAACUAAAGAAGAAAAAUCACAUUAUCAUAUCAAUGGAUGCAGAAAAAGUAUUUGACAAAAGCAAUGCCUAUUUAUGGUAAAAAAAAAAAAAAGAAUCUCAGCAAACUAGGAAUAGAAAGGAACUUCCUCAACUUAUAAAGAAUAUCUACCAAAAAAACUACAGCAAACAUCAUACUUAAUGGUGAGAAACUCAAAGCUUUCCCACUAAGAUCAAGAAUAAGACAAGAAUGUCUCUUCUCUCCACUGAUUUUUCACACCAUACUGGCAGUUACAGCUAAUGCAAUAGAACAAGAAAAGAAAAUAGAAAAUAUACAGAUUGGGAAAGAAGAAAUAAAACUGUCUUUGUUUGCAAAUGACAUGACCAUAUAUAUAGAAAGCCCAAAAUAAUCAACAAAAAAACUCCGGGAAAUAAGCAAUUAUAGCACGGUUGCAAGAUAUAAGGUUAAUAUAUAAAAGUCAAUCACUUUCCUAUAUACCAGCAAUGAACAAUGAAAUUUGAAAUUAACAACACAUUGCCAUUUAUAUUAACACCCCAAAAAUGAAAUACUUAACUAUAAAUCUAACAAAAGAUGUACAAGAUCUAUAUGAAAAACUACAAAACCCUGAUGAAAGAUAUGGAGGAAGAACUAAAUAAAUAGAGAGAUAGCCCAUGUUCCUGAGUAAGAAAACUAUAUUGUCAAGAUGUCAGUUCUUCUUAAUUUGAACUAUAGAUUCAAAGAAGUCCCAAUCAAAAUCCCAGAAAGUGAUUUUGUGUAUAUUGACAAACCAAUUCUAAUGUUUAUGUGUAGAGGUAAAAGAUCCAGAAUACCAACUCAUUAUUCAAGGAGAAUAAAAUUGGAGGACUGACACAACCUGACUUCAAGACUUACUGUAUCACUACGGCAGUCAAGCCAGUGUAGUACUGAUGAAAGAAUAGGUGAAUAGAUUAAUGGAACAUAAUAGAAGGCCUAGAUAUAGACCCACACAAGCAUGGUUAGCUGAUCUUUGACAAAGGAGCAAAGGCAAUACAAUGGAGCAAAGAGUCUUUUCAAGAAAUAGUGCUGGAGCAACUGGACAUCCACAUGCAAAAAAUAAUAAUAAUAAUCUCGACACAAAUCUUAUAUCCUUCACAAAAGUUACUCAUAGUGGUUCAUAGGCCUAAAUACAAAAUGCAAAACUAUAAAACUCCUGGAAGAUAACACAAGAGAAAACUUAGAUGACCUUCGGCAUGACAUUGACUUUUUAGAUAUAACCCCAAAGGCACGACCUAUGAAAGAAAUAAUUGAUAAGGUGGGCUUCAUUAAAAUGUAAAACUUCUGCUCUGCAAAAGAUUAUGUUAAGAGAUAGUGAGUAGAUAAGCCACAGACUGGGAGAAAAUAUUUGCAAAAAAAAAUCUGAUAAAGAAUUGUUAUCUAAAAUACACAAAGAACACUUAAAACUGAACAAUAAUAAAAUGAACCCAAUCUAAAAAUGGGCAAUAUACCUGAAUAGACAUAUCACCAAAGAAGAUAUAAUAAGUAGCAUAUGAAAGAUUUUUGAUAUUGUAUGUCAUUAGGGAACUGAAAAUUAAAAUGAGGUACCACUAAACACCUAAGAGAGUGGCUAAAAUCCAGAACACUGACAGCACCAAAUGCUGAUGAGGAUGUGGAACAACAGGAACUCUCAGUCAUUGCUGAAGGGAAUGUAAAAUGGUACAGCCACUUUGGAAGACCGUUCAUCAGUUUCUUUAAAAACUAAACAUACUUUUACCUUACAAUCCAGCAAUCACGCUCCUAGGUAUUUACCCAAAGGAGCUGAAAACUUACGUCCUCACAAAAACCUGCACAUGGAUGUUUACAGCAGCUUAAUUCAUAAUUGCCAACACUUGGAAGAAACCAAAAUGUCUUUCAGUAGGUGAAUGGAUAAAUAAACUGUGAUACAUCCAGACAAAGGAAUAUUAUUCAGCACUAAAAAGAAAUGAGCCAGCAAGCCAUGAAAAGACAUGGAGGAAAUGUAAAUGUAUAUUACCAAGUUAAGAAGUCAAUCUGGAAAGGCUAAAUGCUGUAUGAUUCCAACAAUAUGAUAUUCAGGAGAAGGCAAAAACUAUGGAAACAGUAAAAACCUCAGUGGGUGGCAUGAGUUAGAGGGGAGGAAGAGAUGAAUAGGCAGAGGAUUUUUAGGGCACUGAAGCUAUUCUGCAUGAUACUGCAGUGGUAGAUACAUAUCAUUAUACAUUUGUCAAAACACAGAGAACACCAGGAAUGAACUCUAAUGUAAACUGGAUUUGAGGGUGGUAAUGAUGUGUCAAUGUAGGUUCAUCUAUCAUAACAAACGUUAUCACUAUGGUGGGGGAUGUCGUUAGCAGGGGAGAUUGUACAUGGAUGGGGAUAGGGUAUAUAGGAACUCUCUAUACUUUCCACUCAAUUUUGCGUGAAUCUAAAACUGCCCUAAAAAAUAAAGUUUACUAAUUUUUUUCUUAAAAAAGAGACUUCUCCAGUCCACAUCUUGUAAGUUCAGGUUCAGGAGGUAGGUCUUGGUUGGGGCUUGGAAAUCUGUCUUCUCCAUAAAUCCAAAAUGUUUCUGAUAUACAGCCAGCGUUGAGAAUCACUGGGUAGAUCUUGACCUCUGAUCUUUUAAGAUGUAACUGUACUGUUCAAUUUUUUUUUCAGGUCUUUACUGUCUGCUAGAAAUAAUCUUAUAAAUUCAUCUGUACUAAUGUUGGUGGCAGAUAAUGCUUAGAUAUUAAAAAUUUGCAUUUAUAGAAGGGUCUUUUUCUACCUAAGUACUUAAACUAACAAGAGCCCCAUAUUAUAGGCUGGCAGCCUCUAAACAGCCUACUCAUAGAGGCAACUAAAAUGAGGAUUCUGUCUCAAAGCUCUGUUCCAUCCAUGCCUUCCCAUGGAGCAAAGGAACAAACAAGAUAUCAACAAUUGGAGAAAUGGCAACUAUAAUUCCAUCAUUCACAACUUCAGUUUUCCUUCAAGAGAACAAGUGACACUGUUAAUCAGGCCCUGCAAGCACAAAUAAACAAAAAUAAUAAUUUGAGAAAAGAAAAUGAAUGAUGGCCUAAGAAGUCUAGUGUUUCUUCCACAACCAAGGUAUAGUAGUCUCAUCCUUUGGAGCUUUAGAUGAACAGACUGAGGAUCAUAGAGUUUCUAACACAGCCCCUUCUUUCUAUGCAACCCAGAAUGAUGUAGUUCUCUAUUUUUAAAAGCAGCAAAAAGGAUGGAAGUGUUCUCCCUUGAAGCCCAGAUGUUUUCUAUCUUUCUAAGCUGCAAUUAUUUCAACACAUUAUUUUAGCUACACUUACAUCAGAUCAGAGCCACCUGUUAUAUCCUCUGCACACUUAUGAGAGAUUUACUGUUAAGUUUCUAUUUAUGGUUUAUUUAGGAAAGUCAGAAUGCAAUUGAGAGGACGCUUUUAAAGUCAUCUUGAGGUCCAAGGAUGUGUGUAUAGCAGAUUAACAGAUAAUCAAGACACUGUGUUGUGUAGUGUAAACAUAAUCAACCCUAAUUUUGUGAUUCAUUAUUACAUAAAUUUGGACGUAACCCGGACUAAAAAACUCAUCAUCUGAAAUUCAACUACAUGCCUGAAAAACAUAAUAUAACAUUGUUAUACUUUAAGGAAGUUAUUAAUCUACUCCUAAACCAAGUAUUACAAAAAAUUGUAUUAUAAUGCAUUUUAUUGUAGGAGGAUUCUUUAUUACCAAG